RNAcentral lists this transfer RNA (83 nucleotides) under Treponema sp. RNAcentral's name for it is "tRNA-Tyr". It matches the Rfam family "tRNA". From Rfam's summary of the family: Transfer RNA (tRNA) molecules are approximately 80 nucleotides in length. Their secondary structure includes four short double-helical elements and three loops (D, anti-codon, and T loops). Further hydrogen bonds mediate the characteristic L-shaped molecular structure. tRNAs have two regions of fundamental functional importance: the anti-codon, which is responsible for specific mRNA codon recognition, and the 3' end, to which the tRNAs corresponding amino acid is attached (by aminoacyl-tRNA synthetases). tRNAs cope with the degeneracy of the genetic code in two manners: having more than one tRNA (with a specific anti-codon) for a particular amino acid; and 'wobble' base-pairing, i.e. permitting non-standard base-pairing at the 3rd anti-codon position. Lineage: Bacteria; Pseudomonadati; Spirochaetota; Spirochaetia; Treponematales; Treponemataceae. The record is from RNAcentral.
GGGGAGUUUCCAGAGUGGUCAAAUGGGGCAGACUGUAAAUCUGUUGGCUUUAGCCUUCGAAGGUUCGAAUCCUCCACUCCCCA